GACGAACGCUGGCGGCGUGCUUAACACAUGCAAGUCGAACGGAAAGGCCCUGCUUGCAGGGUACUCGAGUGGCGAACGGGUGAGUAACACGUGGGUGAUCUGCCCUGCACUUCGGGUUAAGCCUGGGAAACUGGGUCUAGUACCGGAUAGAAGCCAUUUUUAGUGGGAUGGUUGGAAAGUUUUUUCGGUGUAGGAUGAGCUCGCGGCCUAUCGGCUUGUUGGUGGGGUAAUGGCCUACCAAAGCGGCGAAGGGUAGCCGGACUGUGAGGGUGGACGGCGACACUGGAUCUGAGGGAAGGCCGAGAUACCUACUGGUGGCAGAUGUGCGGAAUAUUGAACAAGGGGCGCCAGGCUGAUGCAGCGACGCCGCGGGGGGGAUGACGGUCUUCGGGUUGUAGACUCCUUUCGCUAGGGACGAAGCUUUUUGUGACGGUACCUAGAUAAGAAGCACCGGCUAACUACGUG
Molecule: ribosomal RNA, 465 nt
Filed under: uncultured bacterium
Lineage: Bacteria
Description: partial 16S ribosomal RNA
Rfam family: Bacterial small subunit ribosomal RNA
Source: RNAcentral